Molecule: ribosomal RNA, 496 nt
Filed under: uncultured bacterium
Lineage: Bacteria
Description: partial 16S ribosomal RNA
Rfam family: Bacterial small subunit ribosomal RNA
Source: RNAcentral
GAUGAACGCUGGCGGCGUGCCUAAUACAUGCAAGUCGAGCGAACAGACGAGGAGCUUGCUCCUCUGACGUUAGCGGCGGACGGGUGAGUAACACGUGGAUAACCUACCUAUAAGACUGGGAUAACUUCGGGAAACCGGAGCUAAUACCGGAUAAUAUAUUGAACCGCAUGGUUCAAUAGUGAAAGACGGUUUUGCUGUCACUUAUAGAUGGAUCCGCGCCGCAUUAGCUAGUUGGUAAGGUAACGGCUUACCAAGGCAACGAUGCGUAGCCGACCUGAGAGGGUGAUCGGCCACACUGGAACUGAGACACGGUCCAGACUCCUACGGGAGGCAGCAGUAGGGAAUCUUCCGCAAUGGGCGAAAGCCUGACGGAGCAACGCCGCGUGAGUGAUGAAGGUCUUCGGAUCGUAAAACGCUGUUAUUAGGGAAGAACAAAUGUGUAAGUAACUAUGCACGUCUUGACGGUACCUAAGCAGAAAGCCACGGCUAACUACGG